CUCCCAACAGAGUUUUCUCCAUACCCAGAGUCAAACUCUCGACCUCUAAUUAAGGGUGGAACAGCCUCAUCCACUACACCACAACCAUAUUGGUAAUACUUUUCAAAUUAUGUAAUAGUAUUUGAUUAAACAUUAUUUUUUAAAAAGAUCAUCAAAAACAAGUCAAAAAUUUAUGUGGUUAUAAACCUCAUUUCUUUAAAUUGUUGAUUUUUAUUCCAAAGCUUGAUAAAAUUUGUUAUAAUAUGCAUGAAUUUUGCGGGAGUCUUAUGAUUCCUAGACUAUUUAUUAGUAUAUUAUGACCCCCUAAAUUAUUUAUUAGCAUAUUUACUAAUAUUUAUUUAUACUAAAUUAAUUAAUUUAUUAAUAAAUUUUAUCUAUUUAUUAAUUUAUAAACAUCACUAAAAUACAUUAAUAAAUAAAUAAUUUAGAAGGGUCGCAGAAUCUCUGCAAAAUUCAGGCUUCUUACAACAAGUAUUUUAAAUUGAUGUUUAAUAUUUGAUCUUAAUAAAUAAAUAAUUGAUACCAAGCAUAAAAUAUAGAAAAGUAACUAUCUUUUUUACGAUAUUAAAAAUGACAAAUAUGAAUAAAUAAAAAUGAACACAUGAGUAUAUUGCAAAUUCUAAUAAUACAAACGUUAAUGGAGAAUGUUGAUGCACUUUCAGACCUCAAAAACUUCGUCUGAUUAUUUAUCUUAAACCCAAACAACAUAAACAAAAGUGAAUAAAAGUAGUAUAUUCACAAAUCCACAUUUACAUGUAGUGUACAAAUUCUCAACUAGUAGACCUAUCAAAUAAUCUAAAACUUUUAAUCAGUCUAAUUAUGAUACUUUCAGCUUCUUUCAUCCUUAAUCAAUCUGAGAUAAUUUUAUGCACGGAUUUGAACUAAUCGAGCUACCAACACUGAUCGGUUUCCCAUCUCCGGCGAACAGGAUAAUGACUCCGACCUCCGGCCGACGAGACAACAGGUCUUGCAAUUCUACUUCCAAACAACUUCCGAUCAUAAUUAGCACGUUUUUCCGGGUCGGAAAGAGUAGCAUAAGCUGAUUGAACCCUAAUAAACU
Molecule: long non-coding RNA, 1060 nt
Filed under: Capsicum annuum
Lineage: Eukaryota; Viridiplantae; Streptophyta; Magnoliopsida; Solanales; Solanaceae
Description: long non-coding RNA (CANN_LNC006044)
Source: RNAcentral